AUAUCGGUGCUGGUGAUGAGUUCAUAGGGGGAGUAUUAAAAGCUUCAUGGGCCACAGAAACAGGACUAGAUGCAGCUAAAGCUGACUCCAUAACAUUACAAUCUCCUCUGAUUACAAAGCCAAACAAUCAUUAGUUCACUUGAAGCAAUCAAAAUUCCUUUUACAUACCAAAUAUCAUUGUGCAUGUUCAUCAAUGUUACAUGGCCAAAGCUGAUGGGUAUUAUGCUUAUUCUUAAGCCAUUUCGUGGAUUAAUUCAGAACAAUAAUAAAUGGUGAUCACAACAAAAUAUAUAUAGAGUGGUUAUGCAGGAGGAUCACGUCAGUUCGGGGCUUGAUUUGGAAGAUAAUGGGAGCCUCUACUUCCUGUGUGUUUGUGCUAUUAUCAGCAAUCGUUAAUGCAUCGUAAAUAUUUCCACUGAAUAAAAUACACAAGGAGGUUUUAAAUAUGAGGUUUGGGGUUUCUCUCCUGGGAACACGGGAAGGUUUUAUCUUAAAACCAGAUGCAAUUCUACCUCAUAUUGCACCAUUGUUACUACUAUAGACAAGACUCAGAGCUUAAAUUAAAUAAUCACAUUAUUUACAGAUUCACAGCCUUCUUCCAAUCAUUGAAUUAUUAAGGAAAUAAUUAAAGGCAGAUUCAUAAAAUGUUGAAAUUAUGUUUCAUUAAUAUUUGUUGUGUAACAAAAAGGGAUGUGCAGGAACAUUAAUAUAUUGAUAACAGGGACAUUAAACUUAGAUCUCACGGACCACUACUUGACAUAUCAGUGAACCUAAUCCUCACUGACAUGUUGUUAAAGCUAUUGUUUUCCAAUCUUUGCUCUCCAAACAGGCAAUCCCCGUAGUUCUAAAGCUCCUCAUACGGACAGACACUACUCAAACUGUCCAUUAGAACCUCCUCCUAACUGAAGCAAUCAUUUGCUGCCAAAUGUGCAUCAGCAUGCUGCCGUUUAAUGAGGCAAUUAAACAAUUGUAAUGUUGAAUUGUAUGAAAAACUCAAAUUAAAUUUAUUAUGGCGAUGGUGAAGCUACAUAUUUUUGAUAUAAUUGAGAUCAAAUGUUCAAAAUCCUGCAUGCAUCAAGCGGUUUGAGUCUUCCCCUAAACACAUUUGACCCCGUCUUUGGAUUGGCUGGAGCGAUGUGGAGACGAUGCUUUCAGGGUCAGAUCGCUGCGAGGUGCGUCCGCUCCCGCCGCCCCCCUCGCCAUCCACGACUUAAAUCUUCGGCUGCUUUCCAGCCACGCCGCCUACCAAGGGCUCCUUUUAGAAUAACUUAUUUCCCCGUUGACAUGGUUCAGCUACUGUAAAGAAAAGGGCACCGUCUCUCGCUCUUUAAUCUCAUGAAGUGCUCGGCAAGAACGACAGCUUUGUUUCUCCGAUGCGCCCUGAAACAAGCUCCAUAUCUCACGCGCUUGAGCGCCCGCUCAGCAUCUCGCCGUCGUAGACCGAGCUUUGGCAUGUUUGCCGGAGCGCCUUGAGCGCCGUGUACAACCAGUAUGGAUAAACCGAUUAACCAAUCUGUUCGUUUAAAUUGUUUGUGCUUCAUCAAUUAAUGUUUCACAUAACCGCAUCAUACAUAUUUUUAUAUUAAUUUCAAACUUUUCAAAAUUGAAAAUUAAAACCUUUUUAUUUAUUUAUUGUAAAUGACCUCUCGCGGCCCACCUGCCGUAUCUUCACGGCCCACACUUUGGGGAUCGCUGAUAUAUACUAUACAUAAAUCAAUACACAUAUCAGGCUGUGUGUCCUUCACUGCCUACAGCAUAAUGCGAUGCAUCUCCAUCUGUACGGUUUUCCAUUACGACCUUAAGUUUGGACGGACAGAGCCUCACUAACAGCCUUUUAAUUGCAGCAACAGUGUAAUAAUACUGGCAGCAGUCCCAUUAUAUUGUUACGUAGCGCUGCUACUUACCACAAGACAAUAGAAGCAGCAGAGCCAGGUUAAUCAGCAGGAAGAAAUACACAAGAGGUGAAGUGCCAGGAGUGACCAUUCAGACAUUUCUUUCAAUUCUGCGGUAUUUACCUUCCAUAAUUGUAUUUUUUUUUCUUAGUGAACAUGGCUUACCAUAUUACCAUGGUAAUCCCCAAUUACUGGCGGAGGAAGAACUUUGUGUGUGUGUCUCACACAUAAACACAAGGAGGUGAGGUGUGCUAUUUUUUCAUGGUUGUGUGGAGAGGAGAGCCAAUUAGUGAGCAUCCAGAUGCUGUUUAGUUAAUCCCUGCUCUGGAGGAGAGUUUACACACACACACACACACACACACACACGCACACACACAAACCUGUAUACAAGUCUGUCAAUCAAGCUUCCACAGAGGUUAAAAAUCACACACACAUGUAAAUAUCUCCUUGAGAAGUCAUUUAAUGUCUAUGAAAUAUGCACAAAUGCAUGUGUAGCAGUGCAAUUAUUUCUCAUGUUAAUUAGAACCGCCUGGAUCCGCUCAGUGAGGAGUUUUAGAUAUCCUGCAGUUGAAGACGACAUAGUAUAUGUACACCGAUGACGUUACAAAGUUCUACCUGAGCCUCCCACUAUUCCGCUGAUCUAUACGCAGCAAAACGCCAUCAAAGACAGGGAAGAAGAAGACUGCAACCUAAAUGCCAAAUUUAAUGAAACAAAAAAAUACAACUGCAAGGGUUUCUUCCCAUAGAACCCUGCACUCAGUAACAAGCCCUCCAGUGGCUGUUUUCACCCUCUGAGAUGUCCCUAGUGCCCCCUACUGGUGGCAGGACAGCAUCAUGUCCUUGUGUUUUUCCAUUUCCUUUGUUUUUCUCUCCGACUCUCUGUUCACUAGUAUAUUGGUUUGGUUUGAUUGUGUGAUUAUGUAGAAUUUACACCUGCUACCUUCUUUUAACAUAGUUUCCUCUUACAUUUCUUUCUUUUUCUUGUCCUUACCAUUUUUUUGCACUUAGCCCCCCACCUAUUAGGUGUCAGUAAAGAAACCGUAUAUAAACGGGAAAAGUCCCAAAUGUAAGAAUAAGUAUUGAUCAUCUCUGAUGUAAUUAUAUAAUUACAUCAGAGAUGAUAUAUCUAUAUCUAUAUAUACACACACACACACACACAGUGCAUCUGGAAAGUAUUCACAGCGCUUCACUUUUUCCACAUUUUGUUAUGUUACCGCCUUAUUCCAAAAUGGAUUAAAUUCAUUAUUUUCCUCAACAUUCUACACACAACAACCCAUAAUGACAAAGUGAAAACUGUUUGUUGCAAAUUUUUGCAAAUCUGUUCUGUACAUAAGUAUUCGCAGCCUUUGCUCAAUACUUUGUUGAAGCACCUUUGGCAGCAAUUACCGCCUCAAGUCUUCUUGGGUAUGAUUCCACAAGCAUUGCACACCUAUUUC
Molecule: long non-coding RNA, 3328 nt
Organism: Gasterosteus aculeatus aculeatus (three-spined stickleback)
Lineage: Eukaryota; Metazoa; Chordata; Actinopteri; Perciformes; Gasterosteidae
Source: Ensembl